This 468-nucleotide ribosomal RNA is filed under the name uncultured bacterium. RNAcentral describes it as "partial 16S ribosomal RNA". It matches the Rfam family "Bacterial small subunit ribosomal RNA", at positions 28 to 507 of the family's 1533-position model. The record is from RNAcentral.
GACGAACGCUGGCGGCGUGCUUAACACAUGCAAGUCGAACGGACAGGCCCGGCUUCUGCGGGCGGCUCGGGAGGCGAACGGGAGAGAAACAUGUGUGUAACCUGGCUCCGACUAAGGGAAAAUAUCAGGAAACGUGGCCUAAUACCGGAUAGGUGAUCCUGCAGCAUGGGGCGGGUUGGAGAGUUGCGGCGGGUGGGGAUGGACUCGCGGCAUGUCAGCUUGUCGUUGGGGUUGUGGCUUGGCAAGGCUCUGACGCGUAGCCGGCCUGGGAGGGUGAGCGGCCACGUUGGGACUGGGAUACGGCCCAGACUCCUACGGGACGCAGCGGUGGGGAAUGUUGCACAGUAGGCGGGAGCCUGAUGUGGCCCCGCCGCGUGCGGUAUGUCAGCCUUCGGGUUGUAUACCGCAUUCGCCUGUGCCGAGGCGUUAGUGACGGUAACGGGUGAAGAAGCACCGGCUAACUACGUG